RNAcentral lists this ribosomal RNA (1184 nucleotides) under Borassus flabellifer. RNAcentral describes it as "bacterial LSU rRNA". It matches the Rfam family "Bacterial large subunit ribosomal RNA", at positions 1738 to 2925 of the family's 2925-position model. Lineage: Eukaryota; Viridiplantae; Streptophyta; Magnoliopsida; Arecales; Arecaceae. The record is from RNAcentral.
GGGAGAAGGGGCGCCCCGUGUAGCGUGAAGGACCGAGCGUCCGGAGCGUGAGGGGGCCGCAGUGACCAGGCCCAGGCGUCUGUUUACCAAAAACACCGGUCCCUGCCAACGCGGAGAGCGUGGACGUAUAGGGGCUGAGACCUGCCCAGUGCCGGAAGGUUAAGAGGAGGGGUGCAAGCUCCGAAUUGAAGCCCCGGUAAACGGCGGCCGUAACUAUGACGGUCCUAAGGUAGCGAAGUUCCUUGUCGGGUAAGUUCCGACCUGCACGAAUGGCGUAACGAUGGCCACACUGUCUCCUCCUGAGACUCAGCGAAGUUGAAAUGUUUGUGAUGAUGCAAUCUCCCCGCGGAAAGACGGAAAGACCCCAUGAACCUUUACUGUAGCUUUGUAUUGGACUUUGAACGGAUCUGUGUAGGAUAGGUGGGAGGCUUUGAAGUGCGGUCGCUAGAUCGCAUGGAGCCAACGUUGAAAUACCACCCUGGUGCGUUUGAGGUUCUAACCUAGGUCCAUCAUCUGGAUCGGGGACAGUGCAUGGUAGGCAGUUUGACUGGGGCGGUCUCCUCCCAAAGCGUAACGGAGGAGUUCGAAGGUACGCUAGUUACGGUCGGACAUCGUGACGAUAGUGCAAUGGCAUAAGCGUGCUUAACUGCGAGACUGACAAGUCGAGCAGAUGCGAAAGCAGGACAUAGUGAUCCGGUGGUUCUGUAUGGAAGGGCCAUCGCUCAACGGAUAAAAGGUACUCUGGGGAUAACAGGCUGAUACCGCCCAAGAGUUCAUAUCGACGGCGGUGUUUGGCACCUCGAUGUCGGCUCAUCUCAUCCUGGGGCUGUAGCCGGUCCCAAGGGUAUGGCUGUUCGCCAUUUAAAGAGGUACGUGAGCUGGGUUUAAAACGUCGUGAGACAGUUUGGUCCCUAUCUUCCGUGGGCGCUGCAGAUUUGAGGAAGCCUGCUCCUAGUACGAGAGGACCGGAGUGGACACACCUCUGGUGUAUCGGUUGUCACGCCAGUGGCAUUGCCGAGUAGCUAAGUGUGGAAGAGAUAACCGCUGAAAGCAUCUAAGCGGGAAGCCUGUUUUAAGAUGAGGUUUCUUUUGAGGUCCCCUAAAGACUAUGGGGUAGAUAGGCCAGACUUGGAAGCACUGUAAGGUGUGAAGGCUACUGGUACUAAUUGACCACAUAUGGCGCA